Molecule: ribosomal RNA, 441 nt
Filed under: uncultured bacterium
Lineage: Bacteria
Description: partial 16S ribosomal RNA
Rfam family: Bacterial small subunit ribosomal RNA
Source: RNAcentral
CCUACGGGAGGCAGCAGUAGGGAAUGUUGCGCAAUGGGGGAAACCCUGACGCAGCAACGCCGCGUGAGAGAUGAAGGCCUUCGGGGUGGAAAGAUCUGUCAGUGGGGACGAAACAUGACGUUACUCACAGAGGAUGCACCGGCGAACUCCGUGCCAGCAGCCGCGGUAAUACGUGGGGUGCAAGCGUUGUCCGGAAUAAUGGGGCGUAAAGGGUGCGUAGGGGGUACGUUAAGUCUGGGGUUAAAGGCCGCAGCUCAACUCCCGAAGGGCAUUGGAUACUGGCGAGCUGGAGUGCGGUAGAGGUAAGGGGAAUUCCUGGUGUAGCGGUGAAAUGCGUAGAUAUCAGGAGGAACAUCGGUGGCGUAGGCGCUUUACUGGGCCGUAAUUGACACUGAGGAACGAAAGCCGGGGUAGCAAAUAGGAUUAGAUACCCUAGUAGUC